CGAUGGCUACCAUGGGCGACACUCUGG
This 27-nucleotide non-coding RNA is filed under the name Homo sapiens (human). The record is from RNAcentral. Lineage: Eukaryota; Metazoa; Chordata; Mammalia; Primates; Hominidae.